AACUGCAGGGCUUGGAGAUGGGCCUGACUUUGGAUCAGGAGUUUGAGGGUUUGAGUCCCUUUGUGGUUG
RNAcentral lists this transfer RNA (69 nucleotides) under Scleropages formosus (Asian bonytongue). It matches the Rfam family "tRNA". Rfam says of the family: Transfer RNA (tRNA) molecules are approximately 80 nucleotides in length. Their secondary structure includes four short double-helical elements and three loops (D, anti-codon, and T loops). Further hydrogen bonds mediate the characteristic L-shaped molecular structure. tRNAs have two regions of fundamental functional importance: the anti-codon, which is responsible for specific mRNA codon recognition, and the 3' end, to which the tRNAs corresponding amino acid is attached (by aminoacyl-tRNA synthetases). tRNAs cope with the degeneracy of the genetic code in two manners: having more than one tRNA (with a specific anti-codon) for a particular amino acid; and 'wobble' base-pairing, i.e. permitting non-standard base-pairing at the 3rd anti-codon position. Lineage: Eukaryota; Metazoa; Chordata; Actinopteri; Osteoglossiformes; Osteoglossidae. The record is from Rfam by way of RNAcentral.